RNAcentral lists this transfer RNA (72 nucleotides) under Diaphorina citri (Asian citrus psyllid). It matches the Rfam family "tRNA". From Rfam's summary of the family: Transfer RNA (tRNA) molecules are approximately 80 nucleotides in length. Their secondary structure includes four short double-helical elements and three loops (D, anti-codon, and T loops). Further hydrogen bonds mediate the characteristic L-shaped molecular structure. tRNAs have two regions of fundamental functional importance: the anti-codon, which is responsible for specific mRNA codon recognition, and the 3' end, to which the tRNAs corresponding amino acid is attached (by aminoacyl-tRNA synthetases). tRNAs cope with the degeneracy of the genetic code in two manners: having more than one tRNA (with a specific anti-codon) for a particular amino acid; and 'wobble' base-pairing, i.e. permitting non-standard base-pairing at the 3rd anti-codon position. Lineage: Eukaryota; Metazoa; Arthropoda; Insecta; Hemiptera; Psyllidae. The record is from Rfam by way of RNAcentral.
CCUUGGUUAGCUUAGUUGGUAGCGCGUCUGCCUUGUAAGCGCUAGGCCGCGGGUUCGAUUCCCGCCCGGGGC